Populus trichocarpa (black cottonwood) is the source of this 156-nucleotide non-coding RNA. The record is from Rfam. Lineage: Eukaryota; Viridiplantae; Streptophyta; Magnoliopsida; Malpighiales; Salicaceae.
UCUAGAACUUGAGAUAUAGGCUCAACACUAAACAGUGUAUGGGCUGCAAGAUAGAUUCUGACUUCUCCAUUGUUGCUAAGAUUUGGACUUCCAAACAACAAAAUUUAGUCUUGCACUCCACAUGAAUGUUUUAGGCAUAGGUCUUAGCUUUCUAGC